AGUGAACGCUGGCGGUAGGCCUAACACAUGCAAGUCGAACGGCAGCACAGUAAAAGCUUGCUCUUACGGGUGGCGAGUGGCGGACGGGUGAGGAAUACAUCGGAAUCUACUUUUUCGUGGGGGAUAACGUAGGGAAACUUACGCUAAUACCGCAUACGACCUACGGGUGAAAGCAGGGGAUCUUCGGACCUUGCGCGAUUGAAUGAGCCGAUGUCGGAUUAGCUAGUUGGCGGGGUAAAGGCCCACCAAGGCGACGAUCCGUAGCUGGUCUGAGAGGAUGAUCAGCCACACUGGAACUGAGACACGGUCCAGACUCCUACGGGAGGCAGCAGUGGGGAAUAUUGGACAAUGGGCGCAAGCCUGAUCCAGCCAUACCGCGUGGGUGAAGGAGGCCUUCGGGUUGUAAAGCCCUUUUGUUGGGAAAGAAAAGCAGCAGGUUAAUACCCCGCUGUUCUGACGGUACCCAAAGAAUAAGCACCGGCUAACUUCGUG
Molecule: ribosomal RNA, 492 nt
Filed under: uncultured bacterium
Lineage: Bacteria
Description: partial 16S ribosomal RNA
Rfam family: Bacterial small subunit ribosomal RNA
Source: RNAcentral